AUUCCAGCUCCAAUAGCGUAUAUUUAAGUUGUUGCAGUUAAAAAGCUCGUAGUUGGAUUUUGGGUCGGGGGUACCGGUCCGGUGUUUCACUGUGCACUGGUCUCCCCUUCCUUUCUGCCGGGGACGGCGUUUGCUCUUUACUGAGCGGCGUCGGAGUCGGCGUUGUUACUUUGAAAAAAUUAGAGUGUUCAAAGCAAGCCAUCGCUCUGAAUACAUUAGCAUGGAAUAACAUGAUAGGACUCUGGUCUUAUUUUGUUGGUUUCCGAGACUGGAGUAAUGAUUAAGAGGGACAGUCGGGGGCAUCCGUAUUUCAUUGUCAGAGGUGAAAUUCUUGGAUUUAUGAAAGACGAACUUCUGCGAAAGCAUUUGCCAAGGAUGUUUUCAUUA
Molecule: ribosomal RNA, 387 nt
Filed under: Prasinoderma sp.
Lineage: Eukaryota; Viridiplantae; Prasinodermophyta; Prasinodermophyceae; Prasinodermales; Prasinodermaceae
Description: partial small subunit ribosomal RNA
Rfam family: Eukaryotic small subunit ribosomal RNA
Source: RNAcentral